This 475-nucleotide ribosomal RNA is filed under the name uncultured bacterium. RNAcentral describes it as "partial 16S ribosomal RNA". It matches the Rfam family "Bacterial small subunit ribosomal RNA", at positions 29 to 523 of the family's 1533-position model. The record is from RNAcentral.
AGCGAACAUUGGCGGUAGGCUUAACACAUGCAAGUCGAGCGAGGCGUAAUAGUCGAGCGGCGAACGGGUGAGUAAUACAUGGGAAUCUACCUUGGAGUGGGGGAUAACAGCCAGAAAUGGCUGCUAAUACCGCAUAAUCCCGAGAGGGGAAAGCGCGCUGCGCUCCAAGAUGAGCCCAUGGCUGAUUAGCUAGUUGGUGGGGUAAAGGCCUACCAAGGCGACGAUCAGUAGCUGGUCUGAGAGAACGACCAGCCACACUGGGACUGAGACACGGCCCAGACUCCUACGGGAGGCAGCAGUGGGGAAUUUUGGACAAUGGGGGCAACCCUGAUCCAGCAAUGCCGCGUGAGUGAAGAAGGCCUUCGGGUUGUAAAGCUCUUUUGUCAGGGAAGAAACGGUUGGGGCUAAUACCUCUGGCUAAUGACGGUACCUGAAGAAUAAGCACCGGCUAACUACGUGCCAGCCGCCGCGGUAA